This 744-nucleotide ribosomal RNA is filed under the name uncultured archaeon. RNAcentral describes it as "bacterial SSU rRNA". It matches the Rfam family "Archaeal small subunit ribosomal RNA", at positions 24 to 774 of the family's 1478-position model. The record is from RNAcentral.
UUACUGCUAUCGAGGUUCGACUAAGCCAUGCGAGUCGAAUGUAGCAAUACAUGGCGUACUGCUCAGUAACACGUGGAUAACCUACCCUUGAGAUGGGAAUAAACCCGGGAAACUGGGUAUAAUACCCGAUAGAUCUCGACUGCUGGAAUGCAUCGAGAUCCAAAGCUCCGGCGCUCAAGGAUGGAUCUGCGGCCUAUCAGGUAGUAGUGGGUGUAGCGUACCUACUAGCCUACGACGGGUACGGGUUGUGAGAGCAAGAGCCCGGAGAUGGAUUCUGAGACACGAAUCCAGGCCCUACGGGGUGCAGCAGGCGCGAAAACUUUACAAUGCUGGAAACAGCGAUAAGGGGACCUCGAGUGCCAGGUUACAAAUCUGGCUGUCGUGAUGCCUAAAAAGCAUUGCAUAGCAAGGGCCGGGCAAGACCGGUGCCAGCCGCCGCGGUAACACCGGCGGCUCGAGUGGUAACCGUUAUUAUUGGGUCUAAAGGGUCUGUAGCCGGCCGGAUAAGUCUCUUGGGAAAUCUGGCAGCUUAACUGUCAGGCUUUCAGGAGAUACUGUCUGACUCGAGGCCGGGAGAGGUGAGAGGUACUUCAGGGGUAGGGGUGAAAUCUUGUAAUCCUUGAAGGACCACCAGUGGCGAAGCGUCUCACCAGAACGGACCUGACGGCAAAGGACGAAAGCUAGGGGCACGAACCGGAUUAGAUACCCGGGUAGUCCUAGCCGUAAACGAUACUCGCUAGGUGU